This 359-nucleotide transfer-messenger RNA is filed under the name Desulfobulbaceae bacterium. It matches the Rfam family "transfer-messenger RNA". Rfam says of the family: Bacterial tmRNA, also known as 10Sa RNA or SsrA, is named for its dual tRNA and mRNA-like properties. Its role is to liberate the mRNA from a stalled ribosome. Lineage: Bacteria; Pseudomonadati; Thermodesulfobacteriota; Desulfobulbia; Desulfobulbales; Desulfobulbaceae. The record is from RNAcentral.
GGGGGCGAAACGGAUUCGACGGGGAUAUAUAAGCUCGGGCUGCAAGUCGAGGUCUUCCCACCUCGUUAAUCAGGAAGAUAAUAAAUAUAGUCGCAGACGACUAUGCAUAUGCCGUGGCUGCAUAAAUAAGCCAUUGCUCCUCCGGUAACUCCCGCGUACCGGAAUCGAGCAUCAUCAGUGGGAUAGCUUACACGUUUCUCCAGUGGGCGCGAUAGCGAAACAAAACAGCGGAUAGUGCUGAAAACCUCUGGUUUCGGAGGGGUCGGGGCACGAUAAAUAACCCAUUCACGAAACUAAACUUGUAGAUGCCUGCAGGGGAGUAUUUCCGGACGCGGGUUCAACUCCCGCCGCCUCCACCA